Molecule: long non-coding RNA, 349 nt
Filed under: Haliotis rubra (blacklip abalone)
Lineage: Eukaryota; Metazoa; Mollusca; Gastropoda; Lepetellida; Haliotidae
Description: uncharacterized LOC124269472
Source: RNAcentral
CAGAAUCCGGGGAGUCUCAGGCAUUCCAAAGUGAGGAAGUGGAUUCAGAUGUAGUAUCUGUGAGAAAGUACUGACAUGUAAAGGUGGAUAUACUGUUCAUCAGCAGAUGACUUGAAGUCAAAGAAGCGAGAGACCAUUCAGUCAUUUCUACAGAUUUCCAAGCACGAAUGCUCUUAUGUUCAGCUGAGAAAAAUGAUGAACAAGCAGAAAAUACAGCAGCAAAGGACAAGGAAGAGAUGGCACACAUUUUAAGAAUGAAAUUAACUUAAUAAAUAUUCAGAUCAUUUCUAAGGGAUGUUACAUUUGGGAAUUCACUUUUCCAGUAUAGUACAGAUACUAGUACUUUGCU